This 775-nucleotide ribosomal RNA is filed under the name Klebsiella pneumoniae. Its description in RNAcentral is "bacterial SSU rRNA". It matches the Rfam family "Bacterial small subunit ribosomal RNA", at positions 72 to 869 of the family's 1533-position model. Lineage: Bacteria; Pseudomonadati; Pseudomonadota; Gammaproteobacteria; Enterobacterales; Enterobacteriaceae. The record is from RNAcentral.
UUGCUCUCGGGUGACGAGCGGCGGACGGGUGAGUAAUGUCUGGGAAACUGCCUGAUGGAGGGGGAUAACUACUGGAAACGGUAGCUAAUACCGCAUAAGUCGCAAGACCAAAGUGGGGGACCUUCGGGCCUCAUGCCAUCAGAUGUGCCCAGAUGGGAUUAGCUAGUAGGUGGGGUAACGGCUCACCUAGGCGACGAUCCCUAGCUGGUCUGAGAGGAUGACCAGCCACACUGGAACUGAGACACGGUCCAGACUCCUACGGGAGGCAGCAGUGGGGAAUAUUGCACAAUGGGCGCAAGCCUGAUGCAGCCAUGCCGCGUGUGUGAAGAAGGCCUUCGGGUUGUAAAGCACUUUCAGCGGGGAGGAAGGCGUAAGGUUAAUAACCUUGCGAUUGACGUUACCCGCAGAAGAAGCACCGGCUAACUCCGUGCCAGCAGCCGCGGUAAUACGGAGGGUGCAAGCGUUAAUCGGAAUUACUGGGCGUAAAGCGCACGCAGGCGGUCUGUCAAGUCGGAUGUGAAAUCCCCGGGCUCAACCUGGGAACUGCAUUCGAAACUGGCAGGCUAGAGUCUUGUAGGGGGGGUGAAUUCCAGGUGUGCGGUGAAAUGCGUGAGAUCUGGAGGAAUCCGGUGGCGAAGGCGGCCCCCUGGACAAGACUGACGCUCGGUGCGAAAGCGUGGGGAGCAACAGGAUUGAUCCCUGGUGUCCACGCGAACGAUUCGAUGGAGGUUGUGCCCUUGAGGCGUGGCUUCCGGAGCGUAACGCGUUAAAUCGA